UGAAGUUGACGGGCCCGCACAAGCAGCGGAGCGUGUGGUUUAAUUCGAUGUUACACGAAGAACCUUACCAGGGUUUGACAUGCAAGUGGUAGGAAGCCGAAAGGUGACCGACCCUUCGGGAGCUUGCACAGGUGCUGCAUGGCUGUCGUCAGCUCGUGUCGUGAGAUGUUCGGUUAAGUCCGCUAACGAGCGCAACCCUCGCUGUGUGUUAUAUGUGUCACACGGGACUGCCGGUCUUAAGCCGGAGGAAGGUGGGGAUGAUGUCAAGUCAGCAUGGCCUUUAUAUCCUGGGCUACACACACGCUACAAUGGCCACCACAAUAGGUUGCUAAGCCGCGAGGUGGCGCCAAUCCAUAAAGUUGGUCUCAGUUCAGAUUGUAGGCUGCAACCCGCCUGCAUGAAGAUGGAGUUGCUAGUAACCGCAGGUCAGCUAUACUGCGGUGAAUACGUUCCCGGGGCUU
RNAcentral lists this ribosomal RNA (461 nucleotides) under uncultured Leptolinea sp. RNAcentral's name for it is "bacterial SSU rRNA". It matches the Rfam family "Bacterial small subunit ribosomal RNA", at positions 906 to 1382 of the family's 1533-position model. The record is from RNAcentral. Lineage: Bacteria; Bacillati; Chloroflexota; Anaerolineae; Anaerolineales; Anaerolineaceae.